This 1463-nucleotide ribosomal RNA is filed under the name metagenome. RNAcentral's name for it is "bacterial SSU rRNA". It matches the Rfam family "Bacterial small subunit ribosomal RNA". The record is from RNAcentral.
AGAGUUUGAUCCUGGCUCAGGAUGAACGCUAGCGGCGUGCCUAAUGCAUGCAAGUCGAACGGGAUCCCAUAGAUUCGUCUAAGGGUGAGAGUGGCGAACGGGUGAGUAACACGUUGGUGACCUGCCCCAGAGAGGGGGACAACCAGUGGAAACGCUGGCUAAUACCCCGGAUGUCAAGGUUUUUAGAAACCCUUGACUGAAGCUCCGGCGCUCUGGGAGGGGCCUGCGGUCCAUCAGCUUGUUGGUAGGGUAACGGCCUACCAAGGCGAAGACGGAUAGGGGGCGUGAGAGCGUGACCCCCCACACUGGUACUGACACACGGACCAGAUACCUGCGGGUAGCAGCAGCAAGGAAUAUUGCCCAAUGGACGAAAGUCUGAGGCAGCAACGCCGCGUGAAGGAAGAAGGCUUUCGGGUUGUAAACUUCUUUUUUGGGGGAAGAGAAAGGACGGUACCCCAAGAAUAAGAUCCGGCUAACUACGUGCCAGCAGCCGCGGUAAAACGUAGGGAUCGAGCGUUAUCCGGAUUUACUGGGCGUAAAGCGCGUGCAGGCGGUUUUCUAAGUCGGACGUGAAAGCUCCUGGCCCAACUGGGAGAGGCCGUUCGAAACUGGAAGACUUGAGGAUGGUAGAGGUAAGUGGAAUUCCCGGUGUAGUGGUGAAAUGCGUAGAUAUCGGGAGGAACACCAGUGGCGAAGGCGGCUUACUGGGCCAUUCCUGACGCUGAGACGCGAAAGCUAGGGGAGAGAACGGGAUUAGAAACCCCGGUAUUCCUAGCCGUAAACGAUGUCAACUAGGUGUAGGGGGUAUCCAACCCCCCUGUGCUGUAGCUAACGCGUUAAGUUGACCGCCUGGGGACUACGGCCGCAAGGCUAAAACUCAAAGGAAUUGACGGGGACCCGCACAAGCAGCGGAGCGUGUGGUUUAAUUCGAGAUACGCGAAGAACCUUACCAGGGUUUGACAUGUACGUGGUAGGAAGGUGAAAGCCGACUGACCCUUCGGGGAGCGUACACAGGUGCUGCAUGGCUGUCGUCAGCUCGUGCCGUGAGGUGUUAGGUUAAGUCCUGUAACGAGCGCAACCCUCGUCGUUAGUUAUACGUGUCUAACGAGACUGCCGGUGAUAAGCCGGAGGAAGGUGGGGAUGACGUCAAGUCAGCAUGGCCUUUAUAUCCUGGGCUACACACACGCUACAAUGGCCGGUACAAUGGGUAGCCAAGCCGCGAGGCGGAGCCAAUCCUUCAAAGCCGGUCUCAGUUCGGAUUGUAGGCUGCAACUCGCCUGCAUGAAGUCGGAGUUGCUAGUAAACGCGCGUCAGCAACAGUGCGUUGAAUACGUUCCCGGGUCUUGUACACACCGCCCGUCACGUCAUGGAAGUUGGCAACGCCUGAAGUCAGUGAGCUAACCCUAACGGGAGGCAGCUGCCCAAGGCGGGGUCGGUAACUGGGACGAAGUCGUAACAAGGUA